RNAcentral lists this ribosomal RNA (212 nucleotides) under Bacillus sp. LK7. RNAcentral describes it as "partial 16S ribosomal RNA". It matches the Rfam family "Bacterial small subunit ribosomal RNA", at positions 1 to 208 of the family's 1533-position model. Lineage: Bacteria; Bacillati; Bacillota; Bacilli; Caryophanales; Bacillaceae. The record is from RNAcentral.
UUUAUCGGAGAGUUUGAUCCUGGCUCAGGACGAACGCUGGCGGCGUGCCUAAUACAUGCAAGUCGAGCGGACAGAUGGGAGCUUGCUCCCUGAUGUUAGCGGCGGACGGGUGAGUAACACGUGGGUAACCUGCCUGUAAGACUGGGAUAACUCCGGGAAACCGGGGCUAAUACCGGAUGGUUGUCUGAACCGCAUGGUUCAGACAUAAAAGG